UGUGGAUGACGGUACCGGAAUAAGAAGCACCGGCUAACUACGUGCCAGCAGCCGCGGUAAUACGUAGGGUGCGAGCGUUAAUCGGAAUUACUGGGCGUAAAGCGUGCGCAGGCGGUUUUGUAAGACAGGCGUGAAAUCCCCGGGCUUAACCUGGGAACUGCGCUUGUGACUGCAAGGCUAGAGUACGGCAGAGGGGGGUGGAAUUCCACGUGUAGCAGUGAAAUGCGUAGAGAUGUGGAGGAACACCAAUGGCGAAGGCAGCCCCCUGGGUCGAUACUGACGCUCAUGCACGAAAGCGUGGGUAGCAAACAGGAUUAGAUACCCUGGUAGUCCACGCCCUAAACUAUGUCAACUAGGUGUUGGGUGGGUAAAACCAUUUAGUACCGUAGCUAACGCGUGAAGUUGACCGCCUGGGGAGUACGGCCGCAAGGUUAAAACUCAAAGGAAUUGACGGGGC
This 457-nucleotide ribosomal RNA is filed under the name uncultured bacterium. RNAcentral's name for it is "bacterial SSU rRNA". It matches the Rfam family "Bacterial small subunit ribosomal RNA", at positions 464 to 919 of the family's 1533-position model. The record is from RNAcentral.